This 378-nucleotide unclassified non-coding RNA is filed under the name uncultured Actinomycetes bacterium. RNAcentral's name for it is "uncultured actinobacterium contains 16S-23S intergenic spacer region". Lineage: Bacteria; Bacillati; Actinomycetota; Actinomycetes. The record is from RNAcentral.
UCCGAGUUGACCCCGGCAGUCUCCUUAGAGUCCCCGGCAUUACCCGCUGGCAACUAAGGGUAGGGGUUGCGCUCGUUGCGGCACUUAACCCAACAUCUCACGACACGAGCUGACGACAGCCAUGCACCACCUGUGCACUGGCCCCGAAGGGCUGCCGUGUUUCCACGACAUUCCAGCGCAUGUCAAGCCCUGGUAAGGUUCUUCGCGUCGCGUCGAAUUAAACCACAUGCUCCGCUGCUUGUGCGGGUCCCCGUCAAUUCCUUUGAGUUUUAGCCUUGCGGCCGUACUCCCCAGGCGGGGUACUUAACGCGUUAGCUGCGGCACCGAAGGGGUCGUUCCCCCCAGCACCUAGUGCCCAUCGUUUACGGCGUGGACUAC